GAUGAACGCUGGCGGCGUGCCUAAUACAUGCAAGUCGAGCGAAAAGACGAGGAGCUUGCGCCUCUGACGUUAGCGGCGGGCGGGUGAGUAACACGUGGAUAACCUACUUAUAAGACUGGGAUAAUUUCGGGAAACGGGAGCUAAUACCGGAGAAUAUAUUGAACCGCAGGGGGCAAUGGAGAAAGACGGCUUUGGGGGCACGUAUAGAGGGAUCCGUGCCGGAUUGGCUGGUUGGGAAGGUAACGGCUUACCAAGGCGACGAUGCGUGUCCGAGCUGAGUGGGUGAUCGGCCACCCUGGAACUGAGACACGGUCCAGACUCCUACGGGAGGCAGCAGUAGGGAAUCUUCCGCAAUGGGCGAAAGCCUUACGCAGCAAGCCCGCGUGAGUGAUGACGGUCUUCGGAUCGUAAAACCCUGUUAUUGGGGAAGAACAACUGUGUAAUUAACCAUGCCCGUCUUGACGGUACCUAAUCAGAAAGCCCCGGCUAACUACGUG
RNAcentral lists this ribosomal RNA (497 nucleotides) under uncultured bacterium. RNAcentral's name for it is "partial 16S ribosomal RNA". It matches the Rfam family "Bacterial small subunit ribosomal RNA", at positions 28 to 507 of the family's 1533-position model. The record is from RNAcentral.